GAGUUUGAUCGUGGCUCAGAUUGAACGCUGGCGGCAUGCCUUACACAUGCAAGUCGAACGGCAGCACGGGAGCUUGCUCCUGGUGGCGAGUGGCGAACGGGUGAGUAAUGCAUCGGAACGUAUCCUGGAGUGGGGGAUAACGUAGCGAAAGUUACGCUAAUACCGCAUAUUCUGUGAGCAGGAAAGCGGGGGACCUUCGGGCCUCGCGCUCUUGGAGCGGCCGAUGUCGGAUUAGCUAGUUGGUGAGGUAAAGGCUCACCAAGGCGACGAUCCGUAGCAGGUCUGAGAGGAUGAUCUGCCACACUGGAACUGAGACACGGUCCAGACUCCUACGGGAGGCAGCAGUGGGAUUUGGACAAUGGGGGCAACCCUGAUCCAGCCAUGCCGCGUGAGUGAAGAAGGCCUUCGGGUUGUAA
This 416-nucleotide ribosomal RNA is filed under the name bacterium enrichment culture clone ALO1_GLFRUDD03GOBJ3. RNAcentral describes it as "bacterial SSU rRNA". It matches the Rfam family "Bacterial small subunit ribosomal RNA", at positions 9 to 428 of the family's 1533-position model. The record is from RNAcentral.